AAUAUCAGAACGAAGCUGCUAGAAGUCCAGCUCAAAAGAAACAACAAUAAGCUACAGAGAGUUGUUUCUUUUGUAAUAAGUCUGGACAUGUAAAGAAAGAUUGUACCAAAUAUGAUGCUUGAUGUGUAAAGAAAGGUAUAAUUCUUAACUUGGUCUGUUCUGAGAUUAAUUUAGCUUCAAUACCUAGAAACACUUGGUGGAUAAAUUCUGGUGCUACUACUCACAUAAGUGUCUCUAUGCAGGGUUGCCUAAGUUACCGAAACCAAGUAAUGGUGAAAGACACAUCUUUGUGGGCGAUGGAAAAUCGGUAGAAGUGGAAGCAAUUGUGCAUUUUAGGUUGUUAUUAGGAGUUGGC
RNAcentral lists this long non-coding RNA (355 nucleotides) under Gossypium barbadense (sea-island cotton). RNAcentral describes it as "long non-coding RNA (GBAR_LNC007837)". The record is from RNAcentral. Lineage: Eukaryota; Viridiplantae; Streptophyta; Magnoliopsida; Malvales; Malvaceae.